UAAUCCAUUCAUAUACUGAGCUCUUUUUAUAAGAAUAAUUCCUUGAAUAAAGAUUAAUAUUAGAUGAUUUAAUUUCCAAUGAUAUCACCUUCAACUAAAUUAAUUAGUAACAUGAGGGAAUUUAAUCUGACAUCACUAUCAUAAUGUUCUUGCUCUCCACAGCUACUUAAAAGAGAAAAUGGACAUGACAAGUAAUAAUUAGAAGCAUAUUUAUAACUAUUAAUUAAUUAGGG
RNAcentral lists this long non-coding RNA (233 nucleotides) under Elaeis guineensis (African oil palm). RNAcentral's name for it is "long non-coding RNA (EGUI_LNC006666)". The record is from RNAcentral. Lineage: Eukaryota; Viridiplantae; Streptophyta; Magnoliopsida; Arecales; Arecaceae.